This 460-nucleotide long non-coding RNA is filed under the name Bos indicus x Bos taurus (hybrid cattle). RNAcentral's name for it is "lncRNA (ENSBIXG00005024201.1)". The record is from RNAcentral. Lineage: Eukaryota; Metazoa; Chordata; Mammalia; Artiodactyla; Bovidae.
CUUGCUUUAAGAUGAUGAGAGCUCCACGGUACAACCACUAAUGCAGUAAGGAUUCCCUUCCCCAUGCCAUAUCUGUCACCCUCAGUAUUUGAUAAGUAAGCAAUAGGUGCUACAGUUGUUCACUGCUUUCUGCUUAUACAGAAGAACAACGAGGUACAGAAACCAUCCUCUGCAAACUGCACUGAUUUAAUUCCAGCAUCUGCAGCAGUUUCCCUCACCGAGGUGACUGGCAAGAAGAAGUCAAAGUGCCGCCAGUACUAUUAGAUCAAGUGUCCUUGGCCCAUUAAAAGGAAAAGGUGAAAUGACAUCUCAACACCAUCCAGAGAGAAUUUUCCAAGACACAACCAACAUGCUUUCUUCUGAUACUAAUCCCAGUGUUUGAUAGGAAUGUUUGGUAAGUAUUAACAUGAGACUUUGAGCAUUCAUUGGCCACUUUUGGUUUUUCAGUCUACUUUGGCUA